This 549-nucleotide unclassified non-coding RNA is filed under the name Hevea brasiliensis (rubber tree). The record is from RNAcentral. Lineage: Eukaryota; Viridiplantae; Streptophyta; Magnoliopsida; Malpighiales; Euphorbiaceae.
GCCAUUUCUAAAUGAAAAUGAAAAGGGGUAAGGGAAUUUGAUUUUCGUUCAUUCUUAUGAAAUUUGGAGCAUUACAUUUGUCCUCAGCUGGCCAUAAUAGUUUAUUUGGUUUAGAUCCGUGGAGAGCAAAAAUUAGGACAAAAUUCUGAUGCUUUCAAAGUGCUUGCUUCAAGGUGGCUUUUGAUCAUUCAAGCUAAAUGCCCUGCCUCCAAAUGAGUAAAAACAACCUUGAGUUAUCCAAUAUUUGUUCUACUAAUAAUGAAAUUAAUUAGCUUGGGAGAAGGAGAUCAAGUAUGGCUUCGUUCACCAAAGAAGUAAAGACCUCAAGCUCCAAUUCUAAAACCAACUCUUGUUUUUCUUCAUCAAAAAUUUUCCACUUCCUUUUCCUCUCCAUAUCUCUAACGUAGACAGUCCUGCUAUCCUUCACCUCCCACCCUAAAAGCAUAUCUUGUGGGUGCCCAUUUAUCCAAUGUUGUGCUACUUCUAACUCUUUCUCCAAAUAUUUAUUGUAUCCUUCAAACAUGCUAACACUUGGUAUGUUUUCCAUAA